GUUAGUAAAAACAACACUCACUUUUUCUUGUUUUCUCUCGUACUUUUCACUCGUUUCUUGCUCGCUAUCUUCUCUUUUUUUCGUUUCUUUUUCUAACUCAUUCUCAAACUUUCUUUUAUUUUCUUUUUCAAUUUCUUUUUCUUUCACCUUUUCGAUUUUCUGUUCUUCGUUUUCUUUUUCUCUCAUCUUUUUUUUUCUCAUCUCGAGUUCAUUUAGGAUCCGCUCAUUUUCUCUUAUUAUCAUCUCUUGUCUUUCUUUUCUUCUUAUUUCUUUUUCUUUUUGCCUUGCUAUUUCAUUAUAGGAUGGAGAUGUUACAAAUGAAUCAGCAUGAAAUGACUCUCGUUGGGUAUGUUUGGAACGAAUUUCAUACAAAAAAUGAUCACCUCUAGAAGAUUGAUUCUUGGUGGAUGAAUACCUUGGUGCAUACGAAGGACUACUUGUGAUUUCUCAUUCGUCACCUUGAAAAGCUUCAAACUCGAAACUUGCUUUGCUUUGUCCUGAAUUCCUCGUUGAAUAGGAAUUAUGAUUUGAAUCUCUUCU
This 540-nucleotide long non-coding RNA is filed under the name Gossypium raimondii (Peruvian cotton). Its description in RNAcentral is "long non-coding RNA (GRAI_LNC001317)". The record is from RNAcentral. Lineage: Eukaryota; Viridiplantae; Streptophyta; Magnoliopsida; Malvales; Malvaceae.